GGGCCGUUAGCUCAGUCGGUAGAGCAGUUGGCUUUUAACCAAUUGGUCCGGAGUUCAAGUCUCCGACGGCCCACCA
Molecule: transfer RNA, 76 nt
Filed under: Gammaproteobacteria bacterium
Lineage: Bacteria; Pseudomonadati; Pseudomonadota; Gammaproteobacteria
Also listed under: 1 other name
Description: tRNA-Lys
Rfam family: tRNA
About the family: Transfer RNA (tRNA) molecules are approximately 80 nucleotides in length. Their secondary structure includes four short double-helical elements and three loops (D, anti-codon, and T loops).
Source: RNAcentral